RNAcentral lists this ribosomal RNA (252 nucleotides) under uncultured bacterium. RNAcentral's name for it is "partial 16S ribosomal RNA". It matches the Rfam family "Bacterial small subunit ribosomal RNA", at positions 524 to 776 of the family's 1533-position model. The record is from RNAcentral.
UACGUAGGGUGCGAGCGUUAAUCGGAAUACUGGGCGUAAAGCGUGCGCAGGCGGUGAUGUAAGACCGAUGUGAAAUCCCCGGGCUUAACCUGGGAACUGCAUUGGUGACUGCAUAGCUAGAGUACGGUAGAGGGGGAUGGAAUUCCGCGUGUAGCAGUGAAAUGCGUAGAUAUGCGGAGGAACACCGAUGGCGAAGGCAAUCCCCUGGACCUGUACUGACGCUCAUGCACGAAAGCGUGGGGAGCAAACAGG